GAUAAAUCAAAAUGCAGAAAUGCUUCUUUCUGGAAUCCCACAGUUGUAGCUAGGACUUGGUUGUAGUCUUAGGUGAAUAACCUGGUUCACACAGCUGUUUAAAGACAGAGAAAUAGAAAUUGCUGGAGAAAUUGUGUUUUUAUUGUCCAGAAAAGGAAAGGUAUUCCAAAGAGCUGACAAAUAAUUCUGCAUAACCCAAAGUAGUCCUGUUGGCACAGGAUAUGGUAUUGUUUUCUAAGUUUAAACAGUAAUAAGAGAUUGUGUGUACAUAUCCUGAUACUGUCAAUUGUAUUCCUGACAAAAUCACAAGAGAUUCAAGAAGUCUCCACGCUUAGAACACAUCCCCUUUUGCACCAAAGGGCUGGGAAUGCCAAGUGGCUGCUGUCGCUAGCUCAUCCUGUGCAUCCCUUUGGAAUGCUGCUUGCAGAGCCAGUUUAAAACUAGCGCUUAUUCUUGGCAGUGCAAGCACGUAUGAAAGCAGAGGUGUGAACAGGGACGUGUACCACCACCAAGGAUACUGGGAACUGCAAUAAAGCCCGGGCAGCCCAUCAAGUAGCCCUGCAGAAGCCAGGAAUGGUGAUCCAGGCCAACACAGAGCUGCAGUCACGUGAGGAAGAAAAUCCCAGAUCUUACUGUGUGGUUUAUAAUGAAGCUUCACACCUGAGUUUGAAGCCUGCAUGCACGGCUUUUGUGACACAGUGGCUACUCUAAGGCCCCCGGCACGGCCACUGCUGAGAGCCGCCAGCCCUUCUUCCCUGCGCGGUGUGAGCCAGCGCCUGUGGGAAACCCGGCUGGAAGCGGCCCCUGGAGCGAGGGCCCGGCUCUCGCAGCAGGGAGAGCUGGCAGCUCUGGGAGUAGGGGGCGAUAGGGAGGGUGAGUCCGAAGAUGCAGGGCUGGCACUGUGACACCAAAAGGUAAAAAAGGCAGCAAGGGAGACAAUUAAGCACUAAUGAGAGCAGAGUGUGCUGCCGGAUCUGCGGGUGCCGUAGAG
Molecule: long non-coding RNA, 991 nt
Filed under: Parus major (Great Tit)
Lineage: Eukaryota; Metazoa; Chordata; Aves; Passeriformes; Paridae
Description: lncRNA (ENSPMJG00000009274.1)
Source: RNAcentral